GAUGAACGCUGGCGGCGUGCUUAACACAUGCAAGUCGAACGGAAAGGCCCUGCUUUUGCGGGUUGCUCGUUUGGCGCACGGGUGAGUAACACGCGAGUAACCUCUCCUUGUAUUUGGGAUAACUUCAGGAAACUGGGGCUAUUAUCGCAUAGGAUCUCCUGCUGCACAGGGUUGAUUGGUAAGAUUCGGCGGUUGGGGAUGGACUCGCGGGUUAUCGGCUUGAUGGUGAGGUAGUGACUUACCACGGGUAUGACGGGUAGCCGGCCUUGGAGGGGGGCCAGGGACAUUGGGACUGCGAUAGGGCCCAGUCUCCUAUGGGCGGCAGCAGUCGGGAGUAUUGCGCAAUGGGCGGGCGCCUGAUGCAGCAGCGCUGCGUGCGGAAUGCCCUCCUUCUGGUUGUAAACAGAUUUCGCCUGAAACGUAGCGUGAGUGACGGUAAUGGGUAAAAAAGCCCCGGCUAACUACGUG
Molecule: ribosomal RNA, 468 nt
Filed under: uncultured bacterium
Lineage: Bacteria
Description: partial 16S ribosomal RNA
Rfam family: Bacterial small subunit ribosomal RNA
Source: RNAcentral